This 327-nucleotide long non-coding RNA is filed under the name Zonotrichia albicollis (white-throated sparrow). RNAcentral's name for it is "lncRNA (ENSZALG00000005018.1)". Lineage: Eukaryota; Metazoa; Chordata; Aves; Passeriformes; Passerellidae. The record is from RNAcentral.
UCUGAUUGUUGCCAAUUAAAAAUUCAAAGGGGGAAAAGGAAAAUCGGGAUCAAAAUGGAAAAAAAUCCGAAUUUUUAGGAAUUUUUUUGGGAUUUUUUUUGGGAAUUUUUUGGGAUUUUAAAAAAAAUUUUUAUUUUAAUUUUUGGGGAUUUUUGGGGAAUUUUUGGGGAAAUUUUUAGGGACUUUUUUGGGAUUUUUUGGGAAUUUUUUGGAAAUACUUUGGGAUUUUUUGGGAAUUUUUUUGGGAUUUUUUGGGGAAUUUUUUUGGGAUUUUUUUGGGAUUUUUUAGGGAUUUUUUGGGAUUUUUUUGGGAUUUUUGGAGGAUUU